Ostrea edulis (European flat oyster) is the source of this 540-nucleotide long non-coding RNA. RefSeq lists it as uncharacterized. The transcript is spliced from 2 exons. NCBI's taxonomy places the organism in Eukaryota, Metazoa, Mollusca, Bivalvia, Ostreida, Ostreidae. The record is from RefSeq and is a predicted model, not a curated record.
UCUGAAUUCCGAAUUUACUCGCGUUAGCUGGAAACAGACAUAUUUUUGUUAUCAAAUAGUAUUUAGAGGUUCAAGAUGUCAAUCUUGUUAAAACACCUCAGUGGGAACUGUAUCGAUUUAAAGACACUACAUUUCAAGUGUACACAGUUCUUCUAGUUUACUCGAUACCUGAGGACUCUUUAAUCUUAACCCUUGUCCAAAAAUGUAACUUUUGAAAAGGAUUUUAUCUAUAUUAUUGGCAAAUUUUUGCAUCAAACUUCCGACAUUGCAAACAAUUAGUGAUAUAAUUCACAGCAGAUGUUUUCACCCCUCCAAAUUUCCCUCUGUGCUGGGACACCUUAGACAUAACCUGGAAUAAAAGUUUGACCCAUUAGGAGUCUUUGAAGUAAAGGGAUUAAACUAUUGUUUGUGUGGAAAAACAUCUCUCUUUAGAAACAAAGGGGCAAUGCAAGGACACCUGCUCAGAGCAAGGGGUUUCAACGGAAAAUAAGGACCAACUCCGUGUAUUUCCAUUUCGAAUAAAAACGAUCAUAAAUCAUA